GAUAUAGUGGCAGACGGGUGAGUAACGCGUGGGAACAUGCCUUUCACUAAGGAAUAGCUUUUGGAAACGAAAGGUAAUACCUUAUACGCCCUUAGGGGGAAAGAUUUAUCGGUGAAAGAUUGGCCCGCGUUAGAUUAGCUAGUUGGUAAGGUAAGAGCUUACCAAGGCUACGAUCUAUAGCUGGUCUGAGAGGACGACCAGCCACACUGGGACUGAGACACGGCCCAGACUCCUACGGGAGGCAGCAGUGGGGAAUAUUGCACAAUGGGCGAAAGCCUGAUGCAGCCAUGCCGCGUGAAUGAUGAAGGCCUUAGGGUUGUAAAAUUCUUUCGCUAGGGAUGAUAAUGACAGUACCUAGUAAAGAAGCCCCGGCUAACUUCGUGCCAGCAGCCGCGGUAAUACGAAGGGGGCUAGCGUUGUUCGGAAUUACUGGGCGUAAAGCGCACGUAGGCGGAUUAUUAAGUCAGAUGUGAAAUCCCAAGGCUCAACCUUGGAACUGCAUUUGAAACUGGUAAUCUAGAGAUCAGGAGAGGUUAGUGGAAUACCGAGUGUAGAGGUGAAAUUCGUAGAUAUUCGGUGGAACACCAGUGGCGAAGGCGACUAACUGGACUGAUACUGACGCUGAGGUGCGAAAGUGUGGGGAGCAAACAGGAUUAGAUACCCUGGUAGUCCACACCGUAAACGAUGAGAGCUAGUUGUCUGCAGGCAUGCCUGUAGGUGACGCAGCUAACGCAUUAAGCUCUCCGCCUGGGGAGUACGGCCGCAAGGUUAAAACUCAAAGAAAUUGACGGGGGCCCGCACAAGCGGUGGAGCAUGUGGUUUAA
This 824-nucleotide ribosomal RNA is filed under the name uncultured Alphaproteobacteria bacterium. Its description in RNAcentral is "bacterial SSU rRNA". It matches the Rfam family "Bacterial small subunit ribosomal RNA", at positions 89 to 949 of the family's 1533-position model. Lineage: Bacteria; Pseudomonadati; Pseudomonadota; Alphaproteobacteria. The record is from RNAcentral.